Molecule: ribosomal RNA, 441 nt
Filed under: uncultured Rhodocyclaceae bacterium
Lineage: Bacteria; Pseudomonadati; Pseudomonadota; Betaproteobacteria; Rhodocyclales; Rhodocyclaceae
Description: bacterial SSU rRNA
Rfam family: Bacterial small subunit ribosomal RNA
Source: RNAcentral
UGUGGAUUAAUUCGAUGCAACGCGAAAACCUUACCUACCUUGACAUGUCCGGAAUCCGAAGAGAUUUGGGAGUGGCUCGCAAGAGAGCCGGAACACAGGUGCUGCAUGGCUGUCGUCAGCUCGUGUCGUGAGAUGUUGGGUUAAGUCCCGCAACGAGCGCAACCCUUGUCAUUAGUUGCCAUCAUUUGGUUGGGCACUCUAAUGAGACUGCCGGUGACAAACCGGAGGAAGGUGGGGAUGACGUCAAGUCCUCAUGGCCCUUAUGGGUAGGGCUUCACACGUCAUACAAUGGUCGGUACAGAGGGUUGCCAACCCGCGAGGGGGAGCUAAUCCCACAAAGCCGAUCGUAGUCCGGAUCGCAGUCUGCAACUCGACUGCGUGAAGUCGGAAUCGCUAGUAAUCGUGGAUCAGCAUGUCACGGUGAAUACGUUCCCGGGUCUU